UACGGGGGGAGCAAGCGUUGUUCGGAUUUACUGGGCGUAAAGGGCGCGUAGGCGGUCACCGCAUUUCGACUGUGAAAUCUCCGGGCUUAACCCGGAAAGGUCAGCCGAUACUGCGGGGCUAGAGUGCAGAAGGGGCAACUGGAAUUCUCGGCGUAGCGGUGAAAUGCGUAGAUAUCGAGAGGAACACCUGCGGCGAAGGCGGGUUGCUGGGCUGACACUGACGCUGAAGCGCGAAAGCUAGGGGAGCGAACGGG
Molecule: ribosomal RNA, 254 nt
Filed under: uncultured bacterium
Lineage: Bacteria
Description: partial 16S ribosomal RNA
Rfam family: Bacterial small subunit ribosomal RNA
Source: RNAcentral